CUUCGGAUCUAGUGGCGCACGGGUGCGUAACGCGUGGGAAUCUGCCCUUGGGUUCGGAAUAACUUCUGGAAACGGAAGCUAAUACCGGAUGAUGACGUAAGUCCAAAGAUUUAUCGCCCAAGGAUGAGCCCGCGUAGGAUUAGCUAGUUGGUGGGGUAAAGGCUCACCAAGGCGGCGAUCCUUAGCUGGUCUGAGAGGAUGAUCAGCCACACUGAGACUGAGACACGGCCCAGACUCCUACGGGAGGCAGCAGUAGGGAAUAUUGGACAAUGGGCGAAAGCCUGAUCCAGCAAUGCCGCGUGAGUGAUGAAGGCCUUAGGGUUGUAAAGCUCUUUUACCCGGGAUGAUAAUGACAGUACCGGGAGAAUAAGCUCCGGCUAACUCCGUGCCAGCAGCCGCGGUAAUACGGAGGGAGCUAGCGUUGUUCGGAAUUACUGGGCGUAAAGCGCACGUAGGCGGCUAUUCAAGUCAGAGGCGAAAGCCCGGGGCUCAACCCCGGAACUGCCUUUGAAACUAGAUAGCUUGAGUCCAGGAGAGGUGAGUGGAAUUCCGAGUGUAGAGGUGAAAUUCGUAGAUAUUCGGAAGAACACCAGUGGCGAAGGCGGCUCACUGGACUGGUAUUGACGCUGAGGUGCGAAAGCGUGGGGAGCAAGCAGGAUUAGAUACCCUGGUAGUACACGCCGUAAACGAUGAUAACUAGCUGUCAGGGCACAUGGUGUUUUGGUGGCGCAGCUAACGCAUUAAGUUAUCCGCCUGGGGAGUACGGUCGCAAGAUUAAAACUCAAAGGAAUUGACGGGGGCCUGCACAAGCGGUGGAGCAUGUGGUUUAAUUCGAAGCAACGCGCA
RNAcentral lists this ribosomal RNA (846 nucleotides) under uncultured bacterium. RNAcentral describes it as "bacterial SSU rRNA". It matches the Rfam family "Bacterial small subunit ribosomal RNA", at positions 84 to 965 of the family's 1533-position model. The record is from RNAcentral.